Molecule: ribosomal RNA, 371 nt
Filed under: Pichia manshurica
Lineage: Eukaryota; Fungi; Ascomycota; Pichiomycetes; Pichiales; Pichiaceae
Description: eukaryotic LSU rRNA
Rfam family: Eukaryotic large subunit ribosomal RNA
Source: RNAcentral
CAGUAGCGGCGAGUGAAGCGGCAAGAGCUCAGAUUUGAAAUCGUGUUUCGGCACGAGUUGUAGAGUGUAGGCGGGAGUCUCUGUGGAGCGCGGUGUCCAAGUCCCUUGGAACAGGGUGCCUGAGAGGGUGAGAGCCCCGUAGGGUGCUGCGCGAAGCUUUUGAGGCCCUGCUGACGAGUCGAGUUGUUUGGGAAUGCAGCUCCAAGCGGGUGGUAAAUUCCAUCUAAGGCUAAAUAUUGGCGAGAGACCGAUAGCGAACAAGUACUGUGAAGGAAAGAUGAAAAGCACUUUGAAAAGAGAGUGAAACAGCACGUGAAAUUGUUGAAAGGGAAGGGUAUUGGGCUCGACAUGGGGGGUGCGCACCGCUGUCU